This 468-nucleotide ribosomal RNA is filed under the name uncultured bacterium. RNAcentral's name for it is "partial 16S ribosomal RNA". It matches the Rfam family "Bacterial small subunit ribosomal RNA", at positions 28 to 507 of the family's 1533-position model. The record is from RNAcentral.
GACGAACGCUGGCGGCGUGCUUAACACAUGCAAGUCGAACGGAAAGGCCCUGCACUUGUGCCGUGCUCGAGUGGCGAACGCGUGAGUAUCACGCGAGUAACCUGUCCCUGACUUUGGGAUACCUUCUGGAAACUCGGGCUAAUAUACGGUAGAAACUCCUGCUGCAUGGUGGGGGUUGGUAAGUGUCGGCGUUUUGGGACGGAAUCGAGGCCUAUCAUCUUGUUGGUGAGGUAGUGACUUACCAAGGCUUUGACGGGUUGCCGGCUUGCGAGGGUGACCGGGCACAUUGGGACUGAGAAACGGCCCAGACGGCUACGGGGGGCAGCAGUGGAGAAUAUUGCACGAUGGGCGGAAGCCUGAUGGAGCGAUGCCGGAUGCGGGAAGACGGCCUUCGGGUUGUAAACCGGUUUCGCGUGUGACGAAGAGUGAGUGACGGUAAUUGGUAAAGAAGCACCGGCUAACUACGUG